GUGGGUCUGAUAGAUCGUAGAGGGUAAUGUGAAGUUUUGCUAGUGAUUGGUUAGGUUGGUACCAGAAAUACUGCAGAUGCUUCAGAUAUUUGUGAUGAACAGGAUAUUUCUUACCGAUGGUACCAUGAGUGGCAUUACAGAUUUAAGAAAAGCUAUGAAUUUUUCAAUAGUGACCAAUGCAGUAGAUAGAACAAGAACGUGCUCAUCUAUGAGACAGAGCACAAUUGAAAUAUCAGAGAAUAUAGGUUACCAAAGAUGGGUUUCUCCUGUAUGGAAAUGUCAUGGUACAUCAACCAUUGAUUUUGCAGCAGCUCACCAAGUUUAAUUCAGAGGUUCUUGCUAUAGUUCAUUUCAUCCCUGCCACACCCAUCUGCACUCUGUGUGAAUGCACAUGCAGUUGAGCCCAUACUUGAUUCUGUGAUGUCACUAUUGACAUCAUGUCAGCAGAAACAGUGGGUCUGUCUGUUGUGUGGGCGGAGUGAUGAGGGGAAGGCACUUCAGAAGCCCUCCGAAGUGUGCCAAAUUGACAGGAAAAGUUAACAGAUUGCCACAGCCUGUUAGCUUCAGCAAGGGUAAUGACCAUUCUUAAUUAGAUUUUUUAUUCAUUUCUUUAGCCCAUCCAGGCAAAUGCUGUGCUGUUACUGUGAAAUAGGCCAUUCAUCCCAGUCUUCUUUAUACAGUCAUCUGUUUAUGUUAAUUACUAAGUUACCUCUACAGUUUAUCAGUAAAUAAUCCACAGUCUACAAAACACUCCUAAUAAGUUCUUCAGUAGUUGUAGCGACAUUAUUGAAAUCCUGGAUAGGAAACACAUGAAACAGACAUGUACGAGCAUGAGACAAGAAGUGGAAAACCUUUCAGGAACAAGCAUUUCUCUGAUAGACCCAUUUUUUAUUGUAAUCGCAGUUUUACAACACUGUAUUGUUUAUUCCUUUUGAUAUGCCUAUCCCCAGUAAAAUGUUUUCGUAAAUUAUUGUAUUUAACAACUGUGAGAAGAAAGAUAGGGAGAGAGAUGGUUGAAAAGUUGAUUUGUGCAGAUGCUGCCACCCAUUACAUAUCUGAUGGAUUGUGUUACAUGCUGCUGUAUAACGCAAAAGGCUCAAGAAUCGACAUUCAGGCGGAGAUGAGUCAGCAUGAGGAUUCAAGACUCAUACAUGCCUAAUUCCUGGAGUGGCAUCAUUCGAGGGAAGCUGUUCCUAGUGAGCAAGUUCCAUGCGGUGCCUUCGCCUCCUGAACUAUCCGCCUGCUGUGUGAAAGGCCAGAUCAUAGUCUGUGCUGGGCGUGUACAGGAGGCUUCUGAGAUGCUGUAGGCUCUGGAUGCAAGAAUUUGAUGACAAGAGGAGGUAAACGAAGUUAAUUUUGUUUCCAUGUUGCGUUAUAUUAUAUUACUUUAUCAUCACAUUUUCAUUCAGUUUACAUAGUUUCAGUGACACUCAAGCAUUAGUAUUAAGUAGCAACCAGGAAAUGCAUGGAAAUUUAUGAAUGACAUGAAAUAAUAGUUCUGAUGCCUUUUAAAAGCCAGGGGACUAGGAUUCAAGGCGAGAGCACAGUGAUACGUGUGUUAUCCUCACAAGGCUGAGUGGACCCCUUUCCAGACCCACUAACUCAGAAAAUCUGGUAGCGCCAGAAAUUGAACCCAGGACCUCUGACCACUAGACCACAGAGGCAGUCAUAAAUAAAUCAUUGCUAUUUUAAUUAGCCCACAUGUGAAAUGUUUUAAUAUUUUUCAACCCAGCAUUUACAACAGGCACAGAAAUUAUCUGGAAGUAUGUCAGAUGAACAAAAUGUAUAUACUCGUACAAUUAGUCUAAGCAUGGCAGUGUUCAUUAUUUCCAUGAAAAAAUACAAAACACAUUUAUGAAAACUAUGAGAUGACAACAACAAAUGACAGUAUUUCAGUUGUGUUGUGUCAUCAUUUGGUAUUAGAAAGUUGACCUUUAUGUGGAAAAGCCCUGUAGACAAUUAUUAAUAUGCUUAUUUUAGGAAGUUGUUAUUCCAAACUUCAGAAUGUGCAUAUUAAGUGAAACUGUGAUCUGAAAAUCUUUCUCAGGGGCUGUAAUGUGUAAGGCUGAUAACACUUCUGGGAAACUGCAGUUGCCA
Long non-coding RNA from Cryptotermes secundus, 2097 nucleotides. RefSeq lists it as uncharacterized. The transcript has 3 exons. The record is from RefSeq and is a predicted model, not a curated record. Lineage: Eukaryota; Metazoa; Arthropoda; Insecta; Blattodea; Kalotermitidae.